RNAcentral lists this ribosomal RNA (409 nucleotides) under uncultured bacterium. RNAcentral describes it as "bacterial SSU rRNA". It matches the Rfam family "Bacterial small subunit ribosomal RNA", at positions 509 to 916 of the family's 1533-position model. The record is from RNAcentral.
CAGCAGCCGCGGUAAUACGUAGGUGACAAGCGUUGUCCGGAUUUACUGGGCGUAAAGAGCGCGCAGGCGGUCGUUCAAGUCGCGUGUGAAAGCCCCCGGCUCAACUGGGGAGGGUCACGCGAUACUGAUCGACUCGAAGGCAGGAGAGGGAAGUGGAAUUCCCGGUGUAGUGGUGAAAUGCGUAGAUAUCAGGAGGAACAUCGAUGGCGAAGGCAGCCACCUGGCCUAAGACUGACGCUGAGGCGCGAAAGCGUGGGGAGCGAACAGGAUUAGAUACCCCGGUAGUCCUGGCCGUAAACGUUGGGCACUAGGUGUUGGAGGCAUCGACCCCUCCAGUGCCGCAGCUAACGCAUUAAGUGCCCCGCCUGGGGAGUACGGUCGCAAGACUGAAACUCAAAGGAAUUGACGG